AAAAAAUUAAGUCAACAAAUAAUCCGUCCUCACAAUAACUAUCUUUCACAUGGACACUGAAAAGAUCCACAAAUGGCUGUAUGUGGUAUGGAUCAAGGACAGGAGAGGUGUUCAUACAGAGGUGCUUAAAGAAAGGUGCACAGAGUUCAACAAAGCCAACAACUGCUUCAUGUGUGCCACUGAUAGAGAACCUGAAUGUGGCCCAAAGACUGACUGGAUUGAAUGUUUUGCAUGACAACGGUGGUUCCACGUGCUGUAACUAGGAAUGAAGAGAAACGAGUUCAACAGAGCGAAGAACACAAACUGGAAGUGCUGUCUUUGUUGUUGAAAAUGUAUGCUUUUCCCCAUCCACACUGAAGAGGCUCUGACAUGUACAUCAACCAGGGAUAAAGAGGAAGUUAACACUGUGAAAUGUUUCAUACUUAACUGAAGUUAAGUGUCUGUUGACAUGUUGGAAAAGACUAAAGGUCUACAAUUUGUUGAAUUUGUCAAUAUUACAUUUUUAUUCAUUGAUUUACUGGCCACCAUUACUGUGGUUACAUGUUCAGUAUAUGUAUUGACCAGCAAACCCACUGCAGCCUACCUUACUAACUCCCUCUCCAUCCCUGUACAGUGUAUGUAUUGACCAGCAAACCCACUGCAGUCUACCUUACUAACUAAC
Long non-coding RNA from Oncorhynchus tshawytscha (Chinook salmon), 661 nucleotides. The record is from Ensembl. Lineage: Eukaryota; Metazoa; Chordata; Actinopteri; Salmoniformes; Salmonidae.